This 468-nucleotide ribosomal RNA is filed under the name uncultured bacterium. Its description in RNAcentral is "partial 16S ribosomal RNA". It matches the Rfam family "Bacterial small subunit ribosomal RNA", at positions 28 to 507 of the family's 1533-position model. The record is from RNAcentral.
GACGAACGCUGGCGGCGUGCUUAACACAUGCAAGUCGAACGGAAAGGCCCUGCUUUUGUGGGGUUCUCUAGUGGCGAACGGGUGAGUAACACGUGAGUAACCUGCCCUUGACUUUGGGAUAACUUCAGGAAACUGGGGCAAAUACCGGAUAGGAGCUCCUGCUGCAUGGUGGGGGUUGGAAAGUUUCGGCGGUUGGGGAUGGACUCGCGGCUUAUCAGCUUGUUGGUGGGGUAGUGGCUUACCAAGGCUUUGCCGGGUAGCCGGCCUGAGAGGGUGACCGGGCACAUGGGGACUGAGAUACGGCUCAGACUCCUACGGGGGGCAGCAGUGGGGAAUAUGGCACAAUGGGCGGAAGCCUGAUGCAGCAACGCCGCGUGCGGGAUGACGGCCUGCGGGUUGUAAACCGCUUUCGCCUGUGACGAAGCGUGAGUGACGGUAAUGGGUAAAGAAGCACCGGCUAACUACGUG